RNAcentral lists this ribosomal RNA (485 nucleotides) under uncultured bacterium. Its description in RNAcentral is "bacterial SSU rRNA". It matches the Rfam family "Bacterial small subunit ribosomal RNA", at positions 31 to 507 of the family's 1533-position model. The record is from RNAcentral.
GAACGCUAGCGGCAGGCUUAACACAUGCAAGUCGAGGGGCAGCGUGAGGGUUAGCAAUAACCCUUGACGGCGACCGGCGCAAGGGUGCGUAACGCGUGAGCAACUUGCCCUUAUCAGGGGGAUAACCGGUGAAAACGCCGACUAAUACCCCAUGGCAUUGAGUUGAGGCAUCUCUACUCAAUUAAAGAAAUUCGGAUAAGGAUAGGCUCGCGUGACAUUAGCUAGACGGCGGGGUAACGGCCCACCGUGGCUACGAUGUCUAGGGGUUCUGAGAGGAAGGUCCCCCACACUGGAACUGAGACACGGUCCAGACUCCUACGGGAGGCAGCAGUGAGGAAUAUUGGUCAAUGGUCUGACGACUGAACCAGCCAUGCCGCGUGAAGGUCACGGCCCUAUGGGUCUUAAACUUCUUUUGCGAGGGAGCAAUAAGGCGCACGUGUGCGUCGAUGAGAGUACCUCGCGAAUAAGCAUCGGCUAACUCCGUG